This 253-nucleotide ribosomal RNA is filed under the name uncultured bacterium. RNAcentral's name for it is "partial 16S ribosomal RNA". It matches the Rfam family "Bacterial small subunit ribosomal RNA", at positions 524 to 776 of the family's 1533-position model. The record is from RNAcentral.
UACAGAGGGUGCGAGCGUUAAUCGGAAUUACUGGGCGUAAAGGGUGCGUAGGUGGUUGCAUAAGUUAGGUGUGAAAGUCCUGGGCUUAACCUGGGGAUUGCGCCUAAGACUGUGUAGCUAGAGUAUUGUAGAGGAAGGUGGAAUUUCCAGUGUAGCGGUGAAAUGCGUAGAUAUUGGAAGGAACAUCGGUGGCGAAGGCGACCUUCUGGACAGAUACUGACACUGAGGCACGAGAGCAUGGGGAGCAAACAGG